AGACACUCAAGCCAAGGCUGAGCACCACCAGGGCAGCCACCAGCUGCAGGACCACAGCUGAUAACCUCUCAACUUUGGCCCAGCCACCCCGACUGGGGGAGGGCGGUAGGAGCGGAAA
This is a long non-coding RNA of Homo sapiens (human), 118 nucleotides long. RefSeq lists it as uncharacterized. NCBI's taxonomy places the organism in Eukaryota, Metazoa, Chordata, Mammalia, Primates, Hominidae. The record is from RefSeq and is a predicted model, not a curated record. The transcript has 2 exons.